UACGUAGGGUGCGAGCGUUAAUCGGAAUUACUGGGCGUAAAGCGUGCGCAGGCGGUUCGUCGUGUCCGAUGUGAAAGCCCCGGGCUCAACCUGGGAAUGGCAUUGGAAACUGGCGGGCUUGAGUGUGGCAGAGGGGGGUGGAAUUCCGCGUGUAGCAGUGAAAUGCGUAGAGAUGCGAAGGAACACCGAUGGCGAAGGCAGCCCCCUGGGCUAACACUGACGCUCAGGCACGAAAGCGUGGGGAGCAAACAGG
Molecule: ribosomal RNA, 253 nt
Filed under: uncultured bacterium
Lineage: Bacteria
Description: partial 16S ribosomal RNA
Rfam family: Bacterial small subunit ribosomal RNA
Source: RNAcentral